AUAUCAGUCAUGCAUAGCAUAUCAAUAAGCGGAGGAAAAGAAACUAACAAGGAUUCCCUUAGUAACGGCGAGUGAAGCGGGAAGAGCUCAAAUUUGAAAUCUUCAAGGUUUUACCUUGACGAAUUGUAGUUUAAAGAAGUGUUUUCUGUUGAAGUUUUGGUAAAAGUUCUUUGGAAUAGGGACAUCAUAGAGGGUGAGAAUCCCGUAUUUGACCAUUACUUUCAGCUUUGUGAUACACUUUCAAAGAGUCGGAUUGUUUGGGAAUGCAGUCCAAAAUGGGUGGUAAAUUUCAUCUAAAGCUAAAUAUUGGCGAGAGACCGAUAGCGAACAAGUACCGUGAGGGAAAGAUGAAAAGAACUUUGAAAAGAGAGUUAAACAGUACGUGAAAUUGUCAAAAGGGAAGCGUUUGACACCAGUGUUGUUUUCUCGAAAAUCAAUUAAAAAGAGUUGGAUUUUGUGUUGUAUUGACUUUAUCAGCUUUCUUCACUCUUUUCCAGCUUUUUUUAAUGCACUUUUCGUUUAACAAGUCAACAUCAGUUUCUUUUGUUGUAAAAAGGUCAUUGGAAGGUGGCUUUCUCUUCGGAGAAAGUGUUUAUAGCCUUUGACUUAUGCAAUCGGAGAGACUGAGGUCUGCAGCGUAGAUCCUUCGGGGUUAGAUACAUUUGUGCUAAGUUAUAGCUUUUCAUAGGACAACUUGUUGACUAUGUUUAGUCUUGUAGCUUACUCGCUUAUGCUAUUUUACCUACGCUUAGGAUGUUGAACUCUAUCACACACA
This 775-nucleotide ribosomal RNA is filed under the name uncultured Neocallimastigales. Its description in RNAcentral is "partial large subunit ribosomal RNA". It matches the Rfam family "Eukaryotic large subunit ribosomal RNA", at positions 22 to 615 of the family's 3401-position model. The record is from RNAcentral. Lineage: Eukaryota; Fungi; Neocallimastigomycota; Neocallimastigomycetes; Neocallimastigales.